Molecule: ribosomal RNA, 513 nt
Filed under: uncultured bacterium
Lineage: Bacteria
Description: partial 16S ribosomal RNA
Rfam family: Bacterial small subunit ribosomal RNA
Source: RNAcentral
GAUGAACGCUGGCGGCGUGCCUAAUACAUGCAAGUCGAGCGAACAGAUGAGAAGCUUGCUCCUUUGACGUUAGCGGCGGACGGGUGAGUAACACGUAGGUAACCUACCUAUAAGACUGGGAUAACUUCGGGAAACCGGAGCUAAUACCGGAUAAUAUUUCGAACCGCAUGGUUCGAUAGUGAAAGAUGGCUUUGCUAUCACUUAUAGAUGGACCUGCGCCGUAUUAGCUAGUUGGUAAGGUAACGGCUUACCAAGGCAACGAUACGUAGCCGACCUGAGAGGGUGAUCGGCCACACUGGAACUGAGACACGGUCCAGACUCCUACGGGAGGCAGCAGUAGGGAAUCUUCCGCAAUGGGCGCAAGCCUGACGGAGCAACGCCGCGUGAGUGAUGAAGGUCUUCGGAUCGUAAAACUCUGUUAUUAGGGAAGAACAAACGUGUAAGUAACUGUGCACGUCUUGACGGUACCUAAUCAGAAAGCCACGGCUAACUACGUGCCAGCAGCCGCCGUAA